UUGACCUCGGAUCAGGUAGGAAUACCCGCUGAACUUAAGCAUAUCAAUAGGCAGAGAGGAA
RNAcentral lists this ribosomal RNA (61 nucleotides) under Colletotrichum sp. 2 S4. Its description in RNAcentral is "partial 28S ribosomal RNA". Lineage: Eukaryota; Fungi; Ascomycota; Sordariomycetes; Glomerellales; Glomerellaceae. The record is from RNAcentral.